GAUCCUCACUGAAGGCCUACUAUGCAC
RNAcentral lists this non-coding RNA (27 nucleotides) under Homo sapiens (human). The record is from RNAcentral. Lineage: Eukaryota; Metazoa; Chordata; Mammalia; Primates; Hominidae.